Molecule: ribosomal RNA, 346 nt
Filed under: uncultured bacterium
Lineage: Bacteria
Description: partial 16S ribosomal RNA
Rfam family: Bacterial small subunit ribosomal RNA
Source: RNAcentral
CCUACGUGUGGCUGCAGUGAGGAAUAUUGGUCAAUGGACGAGAGUCUGAACCAGCCAAGUAGCGUGAAGGAUGACUGCCCUAAGGGUUGUAAACUUCUUUUAUAAAGGAAUAAAACGAGGCACGUGUGCCUUUUUGCAUGUACUUUAUGAAUAAGGAUCGGCAAACUCCGUGCCAGCAGCCGCGGUAAUAAUGAGGAUCAGAGCGUUAUCCGGAUUUAUGGGGUUUAAAGGAAGCGUAGAUGGGUUGUUAAGUCCGUUGUGAAAGUUUGCGGCUCAACCGUAAAAUUGCAAUUGAUACUGGCAUUCUUGAGUUCAGUUGAGGUAGGCGGAAUUCGUGGUGUAGCGG